Molecule: non-coding RNA, 157 nt
Filed under: Bacteroides neonati
Lineage: Bacteria; Pseudomonadati; Bacteroidota; Bacteroidia; Bacteroidales; Bacteroidaceae
Source: RNAcentral
GGUUAUUCGGAUUAAAAGGGAAUCGGGUGUAAAUCCCGAACAGUCCCGCUGCUGUGAAGCUCCAUUCAAUAUCCUGAAACACACUUUUGCCACUGGUCGUAUACAGACCGGGAAGGCUUCGGGAGAGGAGUUAGUCAGAAGACCUGCCAUUCAUCAA